RNAcentral lists this ribosomal RNA (460 nucleotides) under uncultured bacterium. RNAcentral describes it as "partial 16S ribosomal RNA". It matches the Rfam family "Bacterial small subunit ribosomal RNA", at positions 338 to 795 of the family's 1533-position model. The record is from RNAcentral.
CCUACGGGUGGCAGCAGUGAGGAAUAUUGGUCAAUGGUCGGAAGACUGAACCAGCCAAGUAGCGUGCAGGAUGACGGCCCUAUGGGUUGUAAACUGCUUUUAUACGGGGAUAAAGUGCGUUACGUGUAGUGCUUUGUAUGUACCGCAUGAAUAAGGACCGGCUAAUUCCGUGCCAGCAGCCGCGGUAAUACGGAAGGUCCGGGCGUUAUCCGGAUUUAUUGGGUUUAAAGGGAGCGUAGGCCGCAUGUUAAGCGUGCUGUGAAAUGCCUGGGCUCAACCAGGGCCUUGCGGCGCGAACUGGCUUGCUUGAGUGCGCGGAAAGCAGGCGGAAUUCGUGGUGUAGCGGUGAAAUGCUUAGAUAUGACGAAGAACCCCGAUUGCGAAGGCAGCUUGCGGCAGCGGUACUGACGCUGAUGCUCGAAGGCGCGGGUAUCGAACAGGAUUAGAUACCCGGGUAGUC